Molecule: ribosomal RNA, 468 nt
Filed under: uncultured bacterium
Lineage: Bacteria
Description: partial 16S ribosomal RNA
Rfam family: Bacterial small subunit ribosomal RNA
Source: RNAcentral
GACGAACGCUGGCGGCGCGCCUAACACAUGCAAGUCGAACGGAGUCAAGAGGAGCUUGCUUUUCUUGACUUAGUGGCGAACGGGUGAGUAACGCGUGAGUAACCUGCCCUGGAGUGGGGGACAACAGUUGGAAACGACUGCUAAUACCGCAUAAGCCCACGGAUCUGCAUGGAUCUGCGGGAAAAGGAUUUAUUCGCUCUAGGAUGGACUCGCGUCCAAUUAGCUAGUUGGUGAGGUAACGGCCCACCAAGGCGACGAUUGGUAGCCGGACUGAGAGGUUGAACGGCCACAUUGGGACUGAGACACGGCCCAGACUCCUACGGGAGGCAGCAGUGGGGGAUAUUGCACAAUGGGGGAAACCCUGAUGCAGCGACGCCGCAUGGAGGAAGAAGGUUUUCGGAUUGUAAACUCCUGUCGUUAGGGACGAUAAUGACGGUACCUAACAAGAAAGCACCAGCUAACUACGUG